AUGGAACUGGAAUGUGGUAAAUCGUGCUGGGAUCAGGGAGAAUGUUCUCCUUAUCUCCGGUCUGUGGAAGAACAGUGGAAGUGGACUCUUGAUCAGGUGGUGAGUGGCAUGAAAGAACAGGACAGGAAAAGAGAAUUGGAUGCAAUAAAAAAGUUGUGGAAAGAAGCUCAGAAGCAAAAGAUACUUCCCCCUCCAGAGGUGAAGGUUAAUUUAGCUGAAGCAUUGUGUAAGUGGGAGUCAGAAAUUCACACUAGAUUACAGGAUCAUUUGGAUAAUCCAAAAUCCAAAGGUUUUAUAGCAGGAAAAUCAUGGCAAAAACAGGGUAAGGAGUUAGAAGAUAAGCGUCGAAGGAUACAUGUUGUGGCUGUGGCAUGUGCAGCGGUGCACUAUUGCAGAUCUAUGGGGGUCACACGAGUGCCCAAUGUAGAGAAGCCUCCAUUAGAAGAUCCAAACCAGACGGUGACACUUAACACCACUCUUUAUCCAGCAUUACCUACUACCUCUUCCACACCCCCAUAUCAAUUGCCAGUUUUGACUACUAACAGUGGUCAGUUAGAUGUGGACAGAGAUGAAGAAAUACAGGAGUUACGUGAGACAGUGGGUGAACUUCGGAGACAGGUUAGCAGGAUCAAACAGAGACAGGAAGAGGUUGAAGAUAACUUAGGAAAAAUUGAAUUUAGAGAGGAAGCUCAGGUGGUUCGCCCUAAAAUCUCCCAACAAACUAUAUUUAAGAAACAGGAUAGUCAAAAAUCUGCAUUAAAUGUCUUUAAAAGACUUAACAAUCAAACAAAACAAGUGAAAAGAGCUGAUCUCUCAGGAGGAUUUGCCAGGGCUGAGCACAGGGAGAAGGCAAGACUGAUUUAUGGCAGUGAUAAAGAGGAGAGCGAGAGUAAGACAGACACCCUAAAACUUUCGGCUACAUUUAUUGGGGAAUUGGAGCUUCAGGAGUCUGUUGAAGCUCAGACAAAAUUAUAUGAAAAAGAUCCAGGUUUAUUUUUGGAAAAUUAUGAAUCAGAAUCAAGGGAAGAGAGUGAGUGUGAGUAUAGAGGUGAACUGUUGACAGGGGCCAUAAAUAAUGAGGAGGGUUAG
RNAcentral lists this long non-coding RNA (1089 nucleotides) under Takifugu rubripes (torafugu). RNAcentral describes it as "lncRNA (ENSTRUG00000026374.1)". The record is from RNAcentral. Lineage: Eukaryota; Metazoa; Chordata; Actinopteri; Tetraodontiformes; Tetraodontidae.